UGUGUCCAUCUGCUCAUCCAAUCAGAAUUUAGUGUUGGAACUAUCCAGAUUAUAUGUUUUUUUUUUUCCUCUCUGUGUCUUAAACUUGGAUAUACUGUCCCCAUAAUGUUCCCCUCACUCUCCCCUACAUUAUUUUGCAUUUACAUUAUAUUAUACUCUAUUGCAGAUUCACCAUCUGAUGCAAACACUCCACUAAUGAGGCUGAUUCUGUGCUGAUGAAAGUGGCAAACAAGGACGGCCGUGUGGAUUUGCCCAAUAGUGCUUCGGUCAAUGUCUUCUGCCUGUUCGUGCUGAUUCAGCCGUUGUGUUUGAUUAUUGGUGGAUACACAGGGAUGGCCACAUAUUUGAUUUCUGCAUACAUAUCCUACAACGCCCUGCCCUGGAAAAAGCCGUCAGCUGAUCAGCAGGAGGAUACGGAGAAAAAAAAGAAGAAAAAGAAGACAAAGACUAAUUAAGACACUCUUAAUUGAGACUUCAAACAACAGCUUUGCGUAGGCGGGAACAAUUUGCAAAUGCGAAGCCAUGUGCUAGAUCUCAAGCGUUUUGCAAGAUCGCUGUAUUUUAAUGAAGAGGAUAAUGAUUACUUUACUAUAAGGAAAAGGCUUUGCAUUCCUUGCAUGUGUAUCUGGAUGUUCAUUGUUGUUUUUUUCCUCUCAGCUGUAAAUUUCAACCUUUGGUCUAAAGACAUUUGGAAAGCAGAAUCUCUGUUUACUUAAGGAGAAACAGGAAGAAGGUAUCAUGAUGAACAGUCGUGAGUGCUGGUUCCAGUUUGUGUCUUGUUGAUCGACAGCAGUGGAUCGAUGGACUGGCUGCCUCUUUAAAUGCCACUUUCACAAUGUAGUUACACGCCAGCCUGUAAAGGCUCGCUCCUAACAAAAAGUGGUUUUAAUUUGGAACAAACUGAUGACUUUGAUUUCUGUUCAAACUGCAAAAAAAUGUUUCCAUAUCUGACUUUAGCUACUCGUAUAUCAUGUAUAUAAUUCAAGGUUGAUCAUGAACAGUUUGCUCCCUGUAUAAUUCAUGCUUUGGUGCACAUCAUUUAAAAUCUGUUUGUUUUUCUUCUCUAUGAAUCUAUGAAUGUGCCAGAAUGAACUAGAAUUAUAUGCUAAAUUAAAAAGACAGAUUGGAUUUUUAGAUGCACAUAAAAGUUUAAUAUACAUAAAAUACAUAAUAUGCAUAAUAUGUUUAAUAUAUUUUAAUACAUAAUAUUUCAACUUUUAAGUUUCACCUGUGUAUGUUGUACUUUAUUAUUAAUAUAAUAAAAAAAUAAAAAAAUGGAAAAGCACAAGCAGUUUCCGCAAAAACCAGUUCUGGAAUUGCGUAAUUAUAACUUCCACUUAUAUUUGUAAUUCCAUAACUAUUUUGUGCCAACUGCUUACUACUUUAAACUUUUUUCAUAUUUUUAUUAUAUAAUAGAAAUGCAUUAUAUCAUACAUACAUAUGUAAUUUAAAACAUUUAAUAAGGUUUUUUUAUUAUUUCCUAUUUUAUUAUACUUUAAAAUAAAAUAAAAUAAAAUAAAAUAAUAAGAAAUGCACUGAAAAUUUCUCUUCAUUUUCCCAAAUGGAAUAAAUAAAUCUGGUAAUGCUCCAGCAUAUGACAUGUUGCCAUCCAUCUCUAUUGUUUGCAUCACAUGACCUGAAAUUAAAGGUAACCAUAGGUAAACUGCACAUAUGUGUGAUGCGGGUUGGUGUAAGUGUUGUGAAGGUAUAGUUUUUUUUUUAUCUUAUAUUGUUUUUAUCCAAAUCUCUCCUCCACUCUGCUCUCCUCUAUCGCCGUUUGUCUCUCUCUAACACUUUUUCACACUUUUACACAUUUUUUUUUUUUGUACUCUCAGCCUGCAGCUUUGUUUUCAGUAGAGAAGUCUCUUGCAAACUGUGUAAAAGCGGGUCAUCACAGUCUAGUGCAGAGCAGAGACAACGGUCCCCCUGCGGUGAGCUCAAUGAGCCCUGGCCUCUCCGCACCCAGCGAUCACAGUGCAGCCACCUCUGACAAUCUCUCAUUAUCACCCCUCGGCAGACUCCGCAGGAAGCAGCGGUGCCCCUGAGAGCACGGGGAGUGAAGACCACCUCAGCACCGCAGCUCGAAGGGUUCAGAACCGUGGCCAAUGGGUGGGCCGCCAAAAAAUGGCAGAUGUGUCUCAGCAAGAUACACAGAGAUGAAUGAAAGGCUUGUGCUAAUGUCUGACUGCAUGUGUCAUGUCUCCUCCGGAGCAUAUUAAGCAUUUUCUGGCAAGCCUAAUAGUCGUAGACUAAAGUCACACCAUUUAAGCAUAUAAUGGCUUAAUAGACUAGUUUUCCACCUUAUUUAGUUACCCAUAUGUCAUUCCAAACUCAUUUCUUUAAUUUAUAAAUCUCAAAAUGAUUGACUCUUUUCCACAUAAUGAAUGUGAAUGGAGACUGUGCCUGCCAAGCUCUAACAUGGAAUACUUUUAGGACAUUUUACAGGUGAUUUUAUUGUCGUGACUCAUGUCCCAAACCUUCAGAAGCUGAACAAUAUCUUUGUGUGGCGAAUUGAAAGAUUUAAAGUGUCAUUCACUGAAAAUUUUGCCCUCUGCAUUGUUUCAAAAAUGGCAUCAUGUGGCAAUAUUUUUAAUAGUUUUAGUCAAUGACCACUUAAAUUUCGGUCUGUUUCAGUGUUAAUCUCAUCAACAAGUUCCUCUGGGUUACACCGUGGAAAGCAAGUCAUAUGGGUUUGGACAGAAGAUAUUACAUUGAGAAAGGGAGGGUGUGAUGGAAGAUGUUCGUGAACGGUCUAAAAGAAUCCAUAUCGCCUCAGUCACACGUUGAUGCCACUCGUCCAUCAUCAUCCUACAGUCCUCCCGAGGAAAGGAAGACAAGCACAGCCUCAGCAGUUAAUGAUGGCGAUU
Long non-coding RNA from Cyprinus carpio carpio, 2867 nucleotides. NCBI's taxonomy places the organism in Eukaryota, Metazoa, Chordata, Actinopteri, Cypriniformes, Cyprinidae. The record is from Ensembl.